Molecule: long non-coding RNA, 146 nt
Filed under: Ictidomys tridecemlineatus (thirteen-lined ground squirrel)
Lineage: Eukaryota; Metazoa; Chordata; Mammalia; Rodentia; Sciuridae
Description: lncRNA (ENSSTOG00000030189.1)
Source: RNAcentral
UUUCUAAAAAUAUGUUUUAUUGGAUUUUUCCUUCUGAGCCCCAGAAGCGAUAUCUAUGUCCCUCCCAACAAGCCCAUCAGCAGGGAGAAACGUGCUGCCCGGUGAGUGAGUGUUGAGUGACUGGAUGAUCCCGGGAGGCCCGGAAU